RNAcentral lists this microRNA precursor (67 nucleotides) under Bombyx mori (domestic silkworm). RNAcentral's name for it is "mir-2807 microRNA precursor family". It matches the Rfam family "mir-2807 microRNA precursor family". The record is from Rfam by way of RNAcentral. Lineage: Eukaryota; Metazoa; Arthropoda; Insecta; Lepidoptera; Bombycidae.
UUAAGUCAAAUUUGUAUGGAGUUGAAAUGCUAGGGGCACUGUUCCAACUGCAUACAAAUUUGAGUUA